Molecule: ribosomal RNA, 663 nt
Filed under: uncultured bacterium
Lineage: Bacteria
Description: bacterial SSU rRNA
Rfam family: Bacterial small subunit ribosomal RNA
Source: RNAcentral
ACCUGCCCCUGUGCGGGGGAUAACAGGAGGAAACUCCUGCUAAUACCGCAUAGCCAUGAGCACCGCAUGGAGCUCAUGCCAAAUAUCCUUUCGGGGAUAGCGCAGGGAUGGACCUAUGGCGCAUUAACUGGUUGGCGGGGCAACGGCCCACCAAGGCAACGAUGCGUAGCCGGCCUGAGAGGGCGGACGGCCACAUUGGGACUGAGACACGGCCCAGACUCCUACGGGAGGCAGCAGUAGGGAAUUUUCGGCAAUGGGGGAAACCCUGACCGAGCAACGCCGCGUGAGCGAAGAAGGCCUUCGGGUCGUAAAGCUCUGUUGUAAAGGAAGAACGGCGCAUACAGGAAAUGGUAUGCGAGUGACGGUACUUUACCAGAAAGCCACGGCUAACUACGUGCCAGCAGCCGCGGUAAUACGUAGGUGGCGAGCGUUAUCCGGAAUCAUUGGGCGUAAAGAGGGAGCAGGCGGCCGCAAGGGUCUGUGGUGAAAGACCGAAGCUAAACUUCGGUAAGCCAUGGAAACCGGGCGGCUAGAGUGCGGAAGAGGAUCGUGGAAUCCCAUGUGUAGCGGUGAAAUGCGUAGAUAUAUGGAGGAACACCAGUGGCGAAGGCGACGGUCUGGGCCGCAACUGACGCUCAUUCCCGAAAGCGUGGGGAGCAAAUA